CGGACGGGUGAGUAACGCGUGGGCAACCUGCCUCAUACAGGGGGAUAACAGUUAGAAAUGACUGCUAAUACCGCAUAAGCGCACAGGACCGCAUGGUGUAGUGUGAAAAACUCCGGUGGUAUGAGAUGGACCCGCGUCUGAUUAGGUAGUUGGUGGGGUAAAGGCCUACCAAGCCGACGAUCAGUAGCCGACCUGAGAGGGUGACCGGCCACAUUGGGACUGAGACACGGCCCAA
RNAcentral lists this ribosomal RNA (235 nucleotides) under uncultured bacterium. Its description in RNAcentral is "partial 16S ribosomal RNA". It matches the Rfam family "Bacterial small subunit ribosomal RNA", at positions 99 to 334 of the family's 1533-position model. The record is from RNAcentral.